AUUGAACGCUGGCGGCAGGCCUAACACAUGCAAGUCGAACGGUAACAGGAAGCAGCUUGCUGCUUUGCUGACGAGUGGCGUACGGGUGAGUUAUGUCUGUGACACUUCCCGAUGGAGGGGGAUAACUACUGGAAACAGUAGCUACUACCGCAUAACGUCGCAAGACCAAAGAGGGGGACCUUAGGGCCUCUUGCUAUCGGCUGUGCCCAGAUGGGAUUAGCUAGUAGGUGGGGUAACGGCUCACCUAGGCGACGAUCCCUAGCUGGUCUGAGAGGAUGACCAGCCACACUGGAACUGAGACACGGUCCAGACUCCUACGGGAGGCAGCAGUGGGGAAUAUUGCACAAUGGGCGCAAGCCUGAUGCAGCCAUGCCGCGUGUAUGAAGAAGGCCUUCGGGUUGUAAAGUACUUUCAGCGGGGAGGAAGGGAGUAAAGUUAAUACCUUUGCUCAUUGACGUUACCCGAAGAAGAAGCACCGGCUAACUCCGUG
RNAcentral lists this ribosomal RNA (490 nucleotides) under uncultured bacterium. RNAcentral describes it as "partial 16S ribosomal RNA". It matches the Rfam family "Bacterial small subunit ribosomal RNA", at positions 30 to 507 of the family's 1533-position model. The record is from RNAcentral.